CGCCGCGCCGUACCCCCUCUCCCGCCCGGGGAUGGGGGCUGCGGGGCGGAGACUAGCCUCCCGUGCGCCAUGGCGCGCGGAUGGCCCAAAUGCGAUCCCUCGGCGACGCACGUCACGACAAUCGAUGGUUGAUCACUCGACUCACGUGCCGUCGUGCUCCGCAGCGUCGCCUGCCAGGGCAUCUCACGGACCCAAUGGCGCGCGCCGCCAGCACUC
RNAcentral lists this unclassified non-coding RNA (216 nucleotides) under Pinguicula ramosa. Its description in RNAcentral is "ITS2". Lineage: Eukaryota; Viridiplantae; Streptophyta; Magnoliopsida; Lamiales; Lentibulariaceae. The record is from RNAcentral.